AGCGAACGCUGGCGGCAGGCUUAACACAUGCAAGUCGAGCGGGCACUUUCGGGUGUCCGCGGCGGACGGGUGAGUAACGCGUGGGAACGUGCCCUCUGGUUCGGAAUAACUCAGGGAAACUUGAGCUAAUACCGGAUACGCCCUUUUGGGGAAAGGCUUGCUGCCGGAGGAUCGGCCCGCGUCUGAUUAGCUAGUUGGUGAGGUAACGGCUCACCAAGGCGACGAUCAGUGGCUGGUCUGAGAGGAUGAUCAGCCACACUGGGACUGAGACACGGCCCAGACUCCUACGGGAGGCAGCAGUGGGGAAUAUUGGACAAUGGGCGCAAGCCUGAUCCAGCCAUGCCGCGGGAGUGAUGAAGGCCUUAGGGUUGUAAAGCUCUUUUAUCCGGGACGAUAAUGACGGUACCGGAGGAAUAAGCCCCGGCUAACUUCGU
RNAcentral lists this ribosomal RNA (434 nucleotides) under uncultured bacterium. Its description in RNAcentral is "partial 16S ribosomal RNA". It matches the Rfam family "Bacterial small subunit ribosomal RNA", at positions 29 to 506 of the family's 1533-position model. The record is from RNAcentral.